This 253-nucleotide ribosomal RNA is filed under the name uncultured bacterium. Its description in RNAcentral is "partial 16S ribosomal RNA". It matches the Rfam family "Bacterial small subunit ribosomal RNA", at positions 524 to 776 of the family's 1533-position model. The record is from RNAcentral.
UACGAAGGGUGCAAGCGUUAAUCGGAAUUACUGGGCGUAAAGCGCGCGUAGGCGGCUCGGAAAGUCGGUCGUGAAAUGCCGGGGCUCAACCCCGGGACUGCGUCCGAUACUCUCGAGCUGGAGGCAGGUAGGGGAGAUCGGAAUUCCUGGUGUAGCGGUGAAAUGCGCAGAUAUCAGGAGGAACACCGGUGGCGAAGGCGGAUCUCUGGGCCUUGCCUGACGCUGAGGCGCGAAAGCUAGGGGAGCGAACAGG